GAGACUCUGUGCGCGUGCAUAUCAAUAAGCGGAGGAAAAGAAACUAACAAGGAUUCCCUUAGUAACGGCGAGUGAAGCGGGAAGAGCUCAAAUUUGAAAUCUUCAAGGUUCUACCUUGACGAAUUGUAGUUUAUAGAAGUGUUUUCUGUUAGUAGAGUGGCAAAAGUUCUUUGGAAUAGGACAUCAUAGAGGGUGAGAAUCCCGUAUUUGGUCAUUCUUUCUAGCUUUGUGAUACACUUUCAACGAGUCGGAUUGUUUGGGAAUGCAGUCCAAAAUGGGUGGUAAAUUUCAUCUAAAGCUAAAUAUUGGCGAGAGACCGAUAGCGAACAAGUACCGUGAGGGAAAGAUGAAAAGAACUUUGAAAAGAGAGUUAAACAGUACGUGAAAUUGUCAAAAGGGAAGCGUUUGACACCAAGUGUUGUUUUUCCGAAAAUCAAUUACGAAUGUUUUGUUUUUAAGAAGUUAUGACUUCAUCGGCUUGCUUCUCUCUUUACGAAACUUUCUUAAUGCACUUUUCGGUUAACAAGUCAACAUCAAUUUCUUUUGUUGUAAAAGGGUAUGAGGAAGGUGGCUUUCUUUUCGGAGAAAGUGUUUAUAGCCUUGUACCUCUGCAAUCGGAGAGAUUGAGGUCUGCAGCGUAGAUCCUUCGGGGUUAGAUACAUUUGUGCUAAGUUAUAGCUUUUCAUAGACAACUUGUUGACUAUGUUAAGUCUUGUAGCUUACUCGCUUAUGCUAUUUUACCUACGCUUAGGAUGUUGAACUCUAUCACACACA
This 774-nucleotide ribosomal RNA is filed under the name uncultured Neocallimastigales. Its description in RNAcentral is "partial large subunit ribosomal RNA". It matches the Rfam family "Eukaryotic large subunit ribosomal RNA", at positions 23 to 615 of the family's 3401-position model. Lineage: Eukaryota; Fungi; Neocallimastigomycota; Neocallimastigomycetes; Neocallimastigales. The record is from RNAcentral.